GGAAAGGCUCCCUGCCCAGAGACAUCUCCUCCACCAGCUUCUUGGAACUCCUAACAUUAAUCACCCACCUUUGGGUUAAGACUCAAACACCAUGCCUCAUCUGUAGUCCCACCCUGGAACAUGCAUCAUUUCCUGUAUCUUUCUCACCCUGGACCAGCCCUCUGCUAUGCUAACCCCCUUCUCCUGUUGAAACUCUCACAGACAUAACGAGUCACAGAACUCUAGCUCUAGAGCUGGAAGGGAGCUCAGAAACCAUC
Trichosurus vulpecula (common brushtail) is the source of this 257-nucleotide long non-coding RNA. RefSeq lists it as uncharacterized. The transcript is spliced from 3 exons. NCBI's taxonomy places the organism in Eukaryota, Metazoa, Chordata, Mammalia, Diprotodontia, Phalangeridae. The record is from RefSeq and is a predicted model, not a curated record.